Ictidomys tridecemlineatus (thirteen-lined ground squirrel) is the source of this 806-nucleotide non-coding RNA. The record is from RefSeq and is a predicted model, not a curated record. NCBI's taxonomy places the organism in Eukaryota, Metazoa, Chordata, Mammalia, Rodentia, Sciuridae.
GGUUUUGGAUAUGGAUCCAAAGGCACAGGCAACAAAUGAAAAAAGAGACAAAUGGCAUUGGGUUUAACUAAGAAGCUUCUGCACAGCAAUGAAAACAACCAACAGAGUGAAGAAAUGAUCUACAGAUUGGUAGAAAAUAUUUACAGGCUAUAAACCUGCUUCAAGGUUCAGUUCACUGAUAGGAAAAGACACAGAAAAUACCAACUGAAAACCCAGAUUCCUGUCUGUAGAAGAUCUUUCCAUCAAAAAUGAGGCAUAAUGCACCCAGCAUCCCUGUUGUUGGAAUAAUGGCUAAACAGAAAAAAAAGUCAAAAUGUUUCCUUAUGAAACUUGUGUUUGUCCAAAGCAAAUAUUUAAAUCUUAUGAAAUUUUAUGAAGUGGCUGCCAUGACAGAAUACCACAGUUUGGGUAACUUACAAAGAACAGAAUAUUUCUCACAGUUCUGGAUGCUGGGAUAUCUAAGAUCAAGAGACUAUUUGUUUUAAAUCCAAUAUAUGAAGAACUUGGACACUAUCAAUCUCACCCCCAAGAAGAAUAAAUGUGAACAAAUCCAAAGAACAAUUCUUCUUAGAUCUGUCAUAAAAUUCCUGCUAUUCUAUAGUAUAAAGACAGAUAGAUACCACCGUUUAUUGGAAACAGAAGCUCGCCUGCUACUAGAGUCAAACUAAUCUAUUGGAAGUAACAGUAGGUCAAAGCUGAGAGAGCUGGAAGACACAGAUUCUGGGGAACAAGGGAGGUUUCCAGGGAUAUCCAAAGACAAAAGGAGAAACCCAUACAAAUCCAAUAAAGGAAAUUGAAGACUUUAA